This 315-nucleotide ribosomal RNA is filed under the name uncultured eukaryote. Its description in RNAcentral is "partial 18S ribosomal RNA". It matches the Rfam family "Eukaryotic small subunit ribosomal RNA", at positions 1470 to 1796 of the family's 1831-position model. The record is from RNAcentral.
CCCUUAGACGUUCUGGGCCGCACGCGCGCUACACUGACCAGUGCAACAAGCAUCCGUCCUUGGCCGACAGGCUCGGGCAAUCUUUGAACGCUGGUCGUGAUGGGGAUAGACUUUUGCAAUUUUUGGUCUUCAACGAGAAAUUCCUAGUAAACGCAAGUCAUCAACUUGCAUUGAUUACGUCCCUGCCCUUUGUACACACCGCCCGUCGCACCUACCGAUUGAAUGGUCCGGUGAAGCCUCCGGAUUGGCGCGCACCUCGGUGCCGCCGAGAAGUUGGCUAAACCUUACCAUUUAGAGGAAGGUGAAGUCGUAACA